UACGAAGGGGGCUAGCGUUGCUCGGAAUUACUGGGCGUAAAGGGAGCGUAGGCGGAUAGUUUAGUGAGAGGUGAAAGCCCAGGGCUCAACCUUGGAACUGCCUUUCAUACUGGCUAUCUUGAGUACGGGAGAGGUGAGUGGAAUUCCGAGUGUAGAGGUGAAAUUCGUAGAUAUUCGGAGGAACACCAGUGGCGAAGGCGGCUCACUGGUCCAUUACUGACGCUGAGGUGCGAAAGCGUGGGGAGCAAACAGG
RNAcentral lists this ribosomal RNA (253 nucleotides) under uncultured bacterium. Its description in RNAcentral is "partial 16S ribosomal RNA". It matches the Rfam family "Bacterial small subunit ribosomal RNA", at positions 524 to 776 of the family's 1533-position model. The record is from RNAcentral.